AUACGUAGGGGGCGAGCGUUGUCCGGAAUGAUUGGGCGUAAAGGGCGCGUAGGCGGCCCGGUAAGUCUGGAGUGAAAGUCCUGUUUUUAAGAUGGGAAUUGCUUUGGAUACUGUCGGGCUUGAGUGCAGGAGAGGUAAGUGGAAUUCCCUGUGUAGCGGUGAAAUGCGUAGAGAUUGGGAGGAACACCAGUGGCGAAGGCGACUUACUGGACUGUAACUGACGCUGAGGCGCGAAAGUGUGGGGAGCAAACAGGAUUAGAUACCCUGGUAGUCCACACUGUAAACGAUGAAUGCUAGGUGUAGGGGGUAUCGACCCCUUCUGUGCCGCAGUCAACACAAUAAGCAUUCCGCCUGGGGAGUACGGCCGCAAGGUUGAAACUCAAAUGAAUUGGCGGGG
This 397-nucleotide ribosomal RNA is filed under the name uncultured bacterium. RNAcentral's name for it is "partial 16S ribosomal RNA". It matches the Rfam family "Bacterial small subunit ribosomal RNA", at positions 523 to 918 of the family's 1533-position model. The record is from RNAcentral.